AAACUUUCAACAACGGAUCUCUUGGUUCUCGCAUCGAUGAAGAACGCAGCGAAAUGCGAUAAGUAAUAUGAAUUGCAGAUUUUCGUGAAUCAUCGAAUCUUUGAACGCACAUUGCGCUCUUUGGUAUUCCGAAGAGCAUGCCUGUUUGAGCGUCAUUU
Molecule: ribosomal RNA, 158 nt
Filed under: Yamadazyma insectorum
Lineage: Eukaryota; Fungi; Ascomycota; Pichiomycetes; Serinales; Debaryomycetaceae
Description: [Candida] insectorum 5.8S ribosomal RNA
Rfam family: 5.8S ribosomal RNA
About the family: 5.8S ribosomal RNA (5.8S rRNA) is a component of the large subunit of the eukaryotic ribosome. It is transcribed by RNA polymerase I as part of the 45S precursor that also contains 18S and 28S rRNA.
Source: RNAcentral